Molecule: small nuclear RNA, 107 nt
Organism: Otolemur garnettii (small-eared galago)
Lineage: Eukaryota; Metazoa; Chordata; Mammalia; Primates; Galagidae
Source: Ensembl
GUGCUCGCUUCGGGAGCACAUAUACUAAAAGUGGAGCAAUAGAAAGAAGAUUAGCAUGGCCCCUGCUCAAGGAUGACGUGCAAAUUUGUGAAGCGUUCAUAUUUUUU